GGCUGCGCUGACACUGAGGGGUGUCCGGGAGCUGCUGAAGCGUGUGGACUUCGCGACGGUCCCGCGGAGACAUCGAUAUAAGAAGAAAUGGCCCGAUCGCCCUCACCCCUCGGAAAAUACCAUAGCGACCUUGCCUGCACUCCUGGGUCUCCGCCGCCUUGCAGGAAAGGAUUCAGCCCCUUCCUCAACCUCGAGCUGCCUCUGGCGACCGGGAAAGGUUACAGCGACCACCCUGUCCAUACUGCCGGCCCAAACCCUGGCAAAAGGUGCAACGAAUCCUCUCAUCCUCUGGACUCUCCCUGCUUCUCCAGAGACCCUUUUUCUUGCCUCACUGGAAGCCCUGGAAUUUCUUCUAUGACCGGCA
This 364-nucleotide small RNA is filed under the name Pan troglodytes (chimpanzee). RNAcentral describes it as "retained intron". Lineage: Eukaryota; Metazoa; Chordata; Mammalia; Primates; Hominidae. The record is from RNAcentral.